RNAcentral lists this ribosomal RNA (460 nucleotides) under uncultured bacterium. RNAcentral describes it as "partial 16S ribosomal RNA". It matches the Rfam family "Bacterial small subunit ribosomal RNA", at positions 338 to 795 of the family's 1533-position model. The record is from RNAcentral.
CCUACGGGAGGCAGCAGUGAGGAAUAUUGGUCAAUGGACGAGAGUCUGAACCAGCCAAGUAGCGUGAAGGAUGACUGCCCUAUGGGUUGUAAACUUCUUUUAUAUGGGAAUAAAAUGUUCCACGUGUGGGAUUUUGUAUGUACCAUAUGAAUAAGGAUCGGCUAACUCCGUGCCAGCAGCCGCGGUAAUACGGAGGAUCCGAGCGUUAUCCGGAUUCAUUGGGUUUAAAGGGAGCGUAGGUGGAUUGUUAAGUCAGUUGUGAAAGUUUGCGGCUCAACCGUAAAAUUGCAGUUGAAACUGGCAGUCGUGAGUACAGUAGAGGUGGGCGGAAUUCGUGGUGUAGCGGUGAAAUGCUUAGAUAUCACGAAGAACUCCGAUUGCGAAGGCAGCUCACUGGACUGCAACUGACACUGAGGCUCGAAAGUGUGGGUAUCAAACAGGAUUAGAUACCCGAGUAGUC